This 6396-nucleotide long non-coding RNA is filed under the name Sus scrofa (pig). Its description in RNAcentral is "lncRNA (ENSSSCG00005034861.1)". The record is from RNAcentral. Lineage: Eukaryota; Metazoa; Chordata; Mammalia; Artiodactyla; Suidae.
UUGUAUUUUUCGUCUUUUUUCUUUUUAGGGCCACACCUGUGGCAUAUGGAGGUUCUCAUGCCAGGGGUCGAAUCGGACCCUUACACCACAACCACAGCAACAUGGAACCGAGGCGUGUCUACAGCCCAUACCACAGCUCACCACAACACCAGAUCCUUAACCCACUGAGUGAGGCCAGGGAUCAAAUCUGCAUCCUCAUGGAUACUAGUUGAGUUCAUUAACCACUUAGCCAUGAUGGGAACUCCCAUAUUAUAUAUCAGCUAUAUAUAUUAUACACACACACAAACACAUACAUACACACAUAUAUAUAUGGUGAGGGAGAUUUAUUAUAAGAAAUUGGAUCAUUUGCAGGUUAGCCAGUGGUGCAAGAGCCCCAGGGAGAGCUGAUGUUCCCAUUCAAAGGCCUUCAGAAAGAGUCAGUAUUGUAGAUGAUCCAAAGUCUAUCACUGGAGAGUUCUCACUGAUUCAAGGGAGGGUUGGUCUUUUUGCUCUAUUCAGACCUUCAAUUAUUAGUUGAGGCCCACCUCCUUAUGAAGAGCAAUCUUCUUCACCCAAGUCCACUGACUUCAGUGUCAAUUUCAUGCAAAAAUGCCCUCCCAGCUACCUUGAAUUACAUCUCACCAACUAUCUGGGUACUUCAUAGUCCAGCCAGGUUGAUACAUACAUUUAACCACCACAAUGUGUAUGUCUUGAUUUGUUUAACCAAAUUUUAUGAGUGAAUAUUUUUAGGUGAUUUUUAUUUUUUAUAACCUUUUUUUUUUUUUUUUUUUUGACCAUGCCCCUGGCAUGCAGAAGUUCUCAGACCAGGGAUUAAACCUACACCACGGCAGUGACAAUGCCAGAUCCUUAACCCAAUUUACCGCCAGAGAGCUUCUAUUUAGGUGAUUUUUAAAUAAAUGGAACUUUACAAUCAGUCAUCCCUCCUUCACCCACUGACAUUUUAUCACACAACCUUUCCUUCUGAGAAUGGAGAAAUAGAGCUUUUUUAAGCACAGCAACCUAAGACUUUCACUGUCAGCUAGAGUUGGUGUGUCACCAGAAAUGUUUCCUACUCUCAUCCCAUGUGUUUCUAAUGAACUGAUAUGAAAUUAUUGUCUUUCCCUCCCUCCUACUCCUCUGUUACUCUAAGAUGAUACCGCAUAUGGGCCACCACAGUCUUCAUCAUACCCUUCUGCUAGGGAUCUCUUGUCAACACCUCCUGCUUUAAAUGUAGGAGAUACAACCUAUCAAGAUGCAAUGCCUAACUGUCUGAUCAUCCCUCCCCUACUUCUAAGGUCUAUUUUUCCCCCUGAUUCUUGCUUUGAAUUUUUUUUUUGGCCACACCCAUGUCAUGUAGAAGUUCCUGGGCCAGGGAUCAAACCCAUGCCACAGCAGCAACCCAAGCUACUGCAGUGACAAUGCCAGAUCCUUACCCACUGCAUCACAAGUGUACUCCAAAUUAAUAUUUUUUAAAGUGAAAAUGAGGGCAUUGGAGGUAAGAGGCACUCUUGAGACAUAACAAUGUUCAAACAUCUCAAAAAUUUGCACAUAUUAGGAGAAAGAGUAGGGGAGGUCUAAUGGUCAUGUUAUUUUUUAUUAUUUAAUUUUGAUUAUUUCAUCAAGGUGAAACCAUGGGAGAUGUACCAAUCAUCUUUCUUACUCUUGCACUGUUACUCACCCACCUCCCAAAUUCUCUUUUGUGAAGAAAAGACUACUUAUGUCAUGAGGUGCACUUCAGAUAUGUCUAUGGCUGUGUUUUAAUUUCUAUUCCAGCCCAACUGACCUCAUUGUUAGAAUAAAUUCUGUCCAAACUCUGGAAUAAGCUUUCCUUUCAGUGUGUUGGGGAGAUUUUCAUCUUUAUUCAUAUUUUCAUAAGUAGAGAAGUUGAGAAAGACCAUUUCUGAACCUAUACAUCAGACACAAUUUUAACCACUGGCAUAUGUUUUGUUUGUUUGGUUGGUUGGUUUUUGUUUUGUUUGCUUUCUAGGGCUGCACUUGCAGCACAUGGGAGUUUCCAGGUUAGGGGUCAAAUCAGAAUUGUAGCUGCCAGCCUACACCCCAGCCACAGCAACGCAGGAUCUGAGCCAUGUCUGCCACCUACACCACAGCUCACAGCAACUCUGGAUCCUUAACCCACUGAAAGAGGCCAGGGAUCAAACCCAUAUCCUCAUGGAGCCUAGUCAGGGAGGAUCCUAAGCCAUGAUGGGAACUCCCCACUGACAUAUGUUUUAAAUAGGAAUUCAUGAUGCUGUUAUCUUGAGCUGUAUGUCCGCUGCAAUCCAGGAAGGCCAGUGACCUAACAAAUUGAAGUGACUCGAUAAAGUUAUUUCUUAAUGCUCUAUUUUAGAUUUUACAUUUGCAACUGUAGCUAAUUGGAUCCAACGCGAAAUCUAAUUAAAACCUCAUUGUACCAUCUGUGUUCUUUGGUUAAAGGACAUGUACUAUUAAACAAGUGCUGAAAAGGAGGUAUUGAGUUACUUAAAAUUCAGUUUCUUCCAUUCUCAAAAACUGAAUGGUAGCAGAGUGUUAUACUCCAUGGUUGUAUCCAGUCUUCAAAAACUCCCCAAAGCCAUAGCUAAUUUUCCUAUUAAUUACAGACUUGAGAUGGCACCAUCAAAUUCAAUCUCACAAUUUCAGCAACGAAGAAGAGAGAGAAAAAAAUAUAUACGUGCGCGCGCGCACACACACACACACACACACACACACACAGAGGAAAAAAAGAACCUUGGUAAUGCACACACAGCAGUUUUCCAAGGGUUUCAUCCUUUCUUCUCUCACUUCAUUUAAUCCAAAUGAGAAAUGUUUUGUUUAACUGGAGAGUUUCAGGAUUUUCUCUGCCCACAAAUGGACUGACCCCUUAAUAAUCGUAAUUUCUCUGUGUUACAUGGUAAGAAAGUCAGAAAGGAGAAAAAGAAGGAAAUCAAGAAGUGAUACUAUUGAAGUGAAAUUUACACACUCAUAAAAAAUUAAGUGGCUAUUGUAGUUUAAUUCACAUGAGCAUGGUCCAUACUUAGUUUAUUCCUCCUCUGAUGGUCACAUGGUAUCUACAAAGAACUUACUGACAUGGAAUCUUAGUUGAAAUGCUAAAAAUCAGUUUCAUUAUAAGUUUUCAGUUUCCUUCUCUGUUAAAAAUAUAAAACAUAUUAAGACAUUUCUUCCUUAUAGGUCUUAGAUUUUUAAAAAGCCCUCUGGUGGCCUCCAGUUUAUUUAUAUACUAGCAGCUGCAGUCAUGACAUCAAGAUGCAAUAAAACUAUCUCUCAGUAAUGCAGGCACCUGUUGUUAAAGAAAGAAAUCUAGGACAGACAGGCAGAGGCUGCUGGAUCCUAAGUGAUGGGGGGUUGGGGGAUCACCCUGAGAAAGUAGAUGUAUUUUCAUAGCAGCAGGCCAGAGGUUCAGGCAUCAGUGGCUGAAUGGCCCCUAUUUUGUCCCUUGUUUAGUUAAACUGACCUCUUUACUCACAUAUAGACAUAAAUCAGUGUCUAUGUGCAGUUCACAACAAAACUAUAAUGGAACCAAGUUUGUCUUCUCCCUUGUUUUUGAAGCUGUGAACCCUGUUGCAAAAGAUCCAGAAGCACACAGCACACCCUUGACAAAAAUCAGUGAUAGAUGGGGCAGUAGGAACUUUCAACACUGAGAUGAUCCAGGGCAAAUGCAAUCCAAUUGUUUGUUUAAAAUUGUUAAAAUUGUUUUUUUGUUUGUUUGUUUUAAAUAGCUGUCCCAAGUUAAGUAUCAAAUAGGCUCAUUGACGGUUUUGGUCUUUAAAAUACCCUAUCCGACAGGCAAAGCAGAGAUUACGUUGAAGCAGUUGAGGAUACUAAGGGUCGCAUAGGUUGAGUGAUUUGCCCAAGGUCACAUACCACAAAGCUGGUCCAGGAUAAACAUGGAGCUCUUGGAACAACGCUGAGUUACCUGAGCACACACACAGUUGAGUUAGAAUUAUGACUUUGUCACAUUUUUUUCUCUCUGAAACUUGGUCUCCUGGUCUAUACAUGGUUUGAUGUGGGAUCACAUGUGAUAACAUACAUCUGACACAACCAACAAUGACAUGAAUGGUACACUCAGUACUCAGAUCCUGUUCCUAGACUCUUUUUGUAUGAACUCAAACUAAAACAACAUUCUGUGGUUUGUAAAAAUUGGCAAAAUAUGUAUUAUUCAAUAAAUGCAGUUUUCUACUGAGCAUUUUUCUUUCAAAAGAUGAUAUGCAUGGGAGUUCCCGUCAUGGCUCAGUGGUCGACGAACCUGACUAGGAACCAUGAGGUUGAGGGUUCAAUCCCUGGCCUUGCUCAGUGGGUUAAGGAUCUGGGGUUGCCAUGAGCUGUGGUGUAGGUCACAGACGUGGCUCGGAUCCCACGUUGCUAUGGCUUUGGCGCCGGUGGCUACAGCUCCGAUUCAACCCCUAGCCUGGGAACCUCAAUAUGCUGCGGGAGUGGCCCAAGAAAUGGCAAAAAGAAAAAGAUGAUAUGCAUGAACAUAAAAGGAAUGUAAGGAUGUAUCAAUAUUAGAGUCAGUUUUUAAGGAUUAAUUCUUUUUCAUGGAAAAGCACGGACUUCAACAAAAGGAACCAAAGACAAAAUCAGUUGAUGCUGAAAUUUGAUCCUUCUCUGAGAUCUUCCUUGAAAAGAAAUUCGAGCAAGUAAUUGAUUGAUUAAAGGUUCAAGUCUUCUAACUAUUUGAUAUCACAAACCCAGCACAGUGAAAGAGGCCAGAUACUCCUUCUUUACCACUGCUUUCUGCCACUUCCCUUCCAUACAUCUAUUGCCCUUGCUAAGUAUGUAAUAAAUACCUCUGAUGUUUGAUAUAGAUGUGCAGAGCUUCUGGUGAAAACAGAGAAAGAGGAAAGCAGCUUAUACUGAUGUAAUUGGUGCAAACCUUGGAUUGGAUCACAGUGUUCUCAGAUGGUUGUAAAUGAUGAAGCACUGAUUUUGUUGUUAGUUUUUUUUUUUUUUUUCUUUAAAUUCCUCUAUAGUUUACUGGAAUUUAAGUCAAUAUAAUGAGCAUCCUGUAAAUGACAAAAUUUUAAGAGAAACCAGUAGUACGCUGGAUUCUAAGAACAAAUUCCUAUGAGGACAGACAGUUAACAAACCACUAUAGAUAUAUGAACAAGUCUUGCGUUGAAGAGCAGAAGGUCAUUGUGAAUAUUCACUUUCUCUUGAAGGUUGCCUGUUUAGUCUACAGAUAGCAGAACGAAAUGAGUCACUCACAGACAGAAAAUAUAAGAUUGGUCGGCCCCUAAAGGUCAUCCUGUUCAGGCAUCCCAAGUGAGGCUGUUCUCACUUUCCAACCCUAAUUGAUUGGUGGUGGCUGUCAGACUGGCACGUUCAGAAGGAUAGGGCUUUGCACAGAAACAGGAGAAAACUAACUGGGAUGGAUUAAUAAUAUUUGUGGUGGCCUGAUUAGGAAGAAUAUCGGUUUAUGUAAAAUACUUGUUUCAGCCUCCACUUCUAAAAGUAAUUAAUUUUUACAAUGUUGGGAUUUAUAAUGAGAAAAUAGUUAACAAAUUUUAAGUUAAAGUAAAAACAGCUAGAUUAGGAUCAAUCUAAUGGCUCUAAAAUUUCUGAGUAUGGUUUGUCAAAGACACCUUGGACAUCUUUUUUUAAAAUUGAUCUCUAAUGUAUAUAGCAUAAAAUACCAUAAUCUUAAGCAUACUGCUUGAUGAGUUUUACACAUGUUAACACCUUGAUCAUCUUGAUUGAAGCACCCCAGGAGUUCCCUCAAACCCCUUCCCAGUCAAUAACUGCAGAGGUAACUACCAUUCUGACUUCUAUAACCACUGACUGGUUGUGUAUGUUCUUAAACUGCAUAGAAAUGGAAUCAUAGUAUGUACUUGGACAUCUUUUUAUCAAUGUAGUUUUGUUAUUUGCCUUUGUUGGUAGCUGAUUAUUCUAAGUAAGUUGAUAGAGAGCUUAUUAUCUUACAAAUGGAAAAGAAUUCUACUUUACAAAAGAAAUAGUUAUGGAGAAAAUGAUGUAUUAGAUCCUAUUUAAAUCUAUAAUAAUUCAAUGAGGUAUCUCUUUAAGACAGGGCUGAACUAGUACCUGUACCUUGAAAUGGUUUUCUAGAAAAAACACAUCCUUUGAAAAACACUCUAUAUAAAUAACUAGAAAUGUUAGAUAAAAUACAACAAACAGCCUUUAAAAUUCACAAAUGAUCUCAAUAAGCCUCCAAAGAAAAUUGCCAAGGAUCAGGAAGAAUAAAGAAAACCGAAAACUGAAAAAGUAAUUUUGUAAUCUACAUCUGCAGCUUCCCUGCUCUCAGGGGAUAAGAGGAAACCACAAUCCACAGUCAGGAUGAGAAGACAGCUAACUACGCCCUUUCCAGGUGUGGUCUUGGUAUUGAGACUUUCCCCUGAAGCAGGAUACAGCAAAAUGGUCCAUGUGCCCCAAAGUACAGACUAGGAAAAAAAAAAAAAAAAAAAA